UUGUAACCAAACAACCUCUAAGCGUUUAUACUUGUUCAGCCAAAGAAAAUAGUAGAGUUAGUAACCUUAGUUGUCUUGGUGAUAUCAUUUAUGUUCGUACCGCUUCUCAUGAAACAGAUUCAACAUCCAAUAAGUCUUUGACUAGGGAAGGGGAGAAUUCCCCCUAUUGCUGGCAGGCUAUCCCAACCCGUGGGCGUUGUGGGAACGAGCUUCCAAGUCAGAUUUGUGUCACGCCCCGAAAUUAGGGUGGGACUUGAUGGUGCUCUACCUUAUACGUCGAGCAAGUCAUGUUAUUUAACCAUACAUGCUAAUAAGGUUAUUUAAACAUACCAAGUACGAAUAAACUCUUAUAUUAAAACUGUCUGAAAAAUAACUAAUGAACAUUUAGCAAACUAAUGUCUGAAAAUCUAACUCAUCAAUGACAGUUAUGAGCCUCUAAAGACUAAGACUAAAGCAAUGUCUUCGAAGCAUUCCUCUCAAUUAAUAAAGUAUCUAAAUAACUAAAAGUUUGAAGAUAAUCGAGUACUGCUAGCGGGAAUCAACAAAGUCUAUCUACCGGAUCCAUGGAAAGUCUGAAAUCUAGCCAUGAGCUUCAUCACCUACAGGCUCAACACCUUCCAUACGAUGUAGUACGCCCCAACAGGCUAAGUAUCUCCAAAAGUACCUAACAAGUAUUUUUUAUCACACCCUAAAUGGAAGAUAAGACUUUGAACUAAACAGUUACAAUAAGAUUGCAAUAAGCAUAACUUGCAAUUAAAUAAAUUAACACUGUAAUUUAAAAAUUGAACUGAAACAUGAAAUUUGAGUCAAGUUCUGAUAAUUUGAUAUAGUUGAAUUUUUUUAUUCUGAAAAUUUUAUCUAACAUGCAAUAGUACGUGCUAGCGAGUGUGAGAAGGACUGGCCAAAUCUUUGCCCCUGGCGACUUUUUAACUCAAAAAAGUUGAUCACUUCUUCCAAAUAUAUAAAUCUGAACAAACAAUGGAACUUGCAUGUGUGAGGAUGGCUGGCCCAUUCCCUGACCCUUGGCGGCUUUUACGCUUGGGGGGAUCGGCCACUUCUCCCAAACAAAUAAAUCUGAAGACAUGGAGUACCUACAAGUAUAGGGUACCUAAUCGCGGCCACUAUAGGUCUGACACUUAGGGAGGUUGGCUAUUUCUCCCAAAACGUAUGUGAUCGUAUAACCUGAGCUGAAUCAGAAUUAAAUACAGCAAGCAAUGUCAUAACAUCAAUCAAAUCAAACAAGAAAUUCAAUUACUUUUGAUAUUCCGAGCUAACUGAGUCAUCAAACAAGACAAUUCAAUUUCUAUAAAAUAAUCUGUAUCAUGAAGUAAUAAUAGAGUCUAACAUUUAAGCAAUCAAGAGUUGUUCAAACAACUGUCUAAUAUUUAUAGUUAAGGACGUUUAAGCGCUUCCUUAAUUAUCAAAUAAUUUUCUUAGUACGCAUUUUCUUUUCUGACCUUGGACUUAGGGAAUCAUAAACGCAGUUUACCUUAUCAACUAGCAAGAAUCUCCUCUCAACGUACAUGUGUAUUCAAUCUUCUCGAAAGUCUACGAUAAGUAGUUAAAACCGUUAACGCAAUUAUAAUUUCAAUCUAUUCUCCUAAAUUUAGGUAUUUCUCCGCCAUAAGUGGUUUAGAUCGAUUCUAACCAUGAACUUUGUUAUUCUUAUGAACUAAAGAUCGUUAUACACUAUAAAUUUUCUAACUUUAAUAGCAGAGAGCAAAAGAAUUACCUUGAAUGAUAUCUCCACAAAUCCUAAAUUUCGGAUCUUGAAGAACUCUUUGAUUCUUGGGUGGAAACCUAGGUUUUAGAAUUUAAAAGGUAUUAAACAACGUUAAUCUCUUAUUUUUAACUUGAAUUUAUGGUAGGGAUCUUACCUUAGGUGGAUUGAGGAAGCCCUAGGUAGUUCUUGCUAUCAAAAAUCAUCUUUAAAAUGCUGUAGAAAUAACUAGGUUUUUUUCUCGCCUAGAAGUGCCCUUUUAUUUUAUGCGUUUCAAAGUCAUACAUGUCGAAAUUUAGCCUACCGCAUCG
Molecule: long non-coding RNA, 2031 nt
Filed under: Nicotiana tabacum (common tobacco)
Lineage: Eukaryota; Viridiplantae; Streptophyta; Magnoliopsida; Solanales; Solanaceae
Description: long non-coding RNA (NTAB_LNC010928)
Source: RNAcentral